This 1641-nucleotide ribosomal RNA is filed under the name Triticum aestivum (bread wheat). Its description in RNAcentral is "partial small subunit ribosomal RNA". Lineage: Eukaryota; Viridiplantae; Streptophyta; Magnoliopsida; Poales; Poaceae. The record is from RNAcentral.
AUGGUGAGUGAAGCCAAGUGUUCAACAUUUUUCAGUCCUAAUACCGAUGUUGAGGUGAAGGCAGAGAUGUGUCAAGUUCUGAAUAUUAUGACCGGAUCUCUCUUGGAUAAAUAUUUGGGCCUCCCAUCUAUGAUUGGGGUGGACCGGGUGGACUGUUUUAAACACCUAAUAGAGACAAUUCAGAUUCUGGUUAAUGGAUGGAAAGAGAGAACUCUAUCCUAUGGAGGAAAAGAAGCCUUGCUGAAAGCGGUGGCCCAAGCCAUCCCUACAUAUGCGAUGAGUGUGUUCAAAUUCCCAAAAAAAGUUUGUAAGGGGAUCACUGAUGCAAUGUCGCAAUAUUGGUGGGGUGACGAUGAAAGCCAACGCCGAAUGCACUGGUUUGCAUGGUGGAAAAUGUGUGUCCCCAAAGAUAGGGGUGGGAUGGGUUUCCGAGAUAUUCAUUGUUUUAACUUAGCCAUGCUUGCUAAGCAAUGUUGGAGGCUUAUCGAUAACUAUGACUCUCUUUGUGCUAGAGUGUUGAGAUCACGUUAUUACCCUUCAGGAGAUAUUUUGAAUUGCGAGUUAAAGAAAGGAUCAUCCUAUGUAUGGCAAAGCAUAUGGGCAGGAAUCCAAACCUUCAAGAAAGGAAGCAUCUGGAGAGUUGGGGAUGGUACAAAGAUUGAUAUUUGGGAGGACUGCUGGAUCCCGAAUAGUUCAUCAAGGAAGAUUUUAACAGUGAGAGGGAACAGAGUCCUUUCAAGGGUGAAUGAGUUGAUUGACCCCUACUUGGGUGAAUGGGAUGAAGAUCUUAUUAGAGAGAAUUUCUGGCCUAUUGAUGCUGAUCGUAUCCUUCAGAUUCCCUUAUACCGUCAAGGGACGGUAGAUUACAUUGCCUGGCAUUUGACAAAGAAUGGUGUUUUCUCUGUUCGAUCCGCGUAUUACAAACAAUGGGAAGAAACCUAUGUUACUGCUUCGGGUUCUGUUGGUUAUGGAGGAUCAUCAUCGCAUCCAGUGUGGAAGAGUUUGUGGAAUCUUAAACUACCGGGGAAGGUUAAAAUCUUUCUAUGGCGAUGCCUACACAACGCCAUACCAUGUUUAUCUGUCCUGGCAAACCGCCACAUUGGGAACAACUCACAGUACCCUGUAUGCUCAAGUGGAGCUGAGGAUAUCAUGCAUGCACUCUUUAAUUGCCCCCGGGCAAGAGCUAUCCGGGAGGCUCUCGGGGUAGGGAAAGAAAUGCAGAACGCAGUUCUGGUUGAUCGAGCUGGUUCUGCAGUGAUCGAAUUUUUUCUAUGCGACAAAUCUUUCCAACGCCCGUUUAUGGAACCAGUGCAAAUCCCUGAAUUAUUAGCGACUGCAUGUUGGUUUAUCUGGUGGCAGAGAAGACAGCUGGUCAGAGGAGAACCAGUGCAAAAUUCUGAACAAACGGCUCUAUCGUUGCAUGCUCUAACACUGAAUUUUGUGAAAGCUCGUGAGCUUGAUUAUACACGAGCAAGUGGAGCAGUCAUUCGUGAUAAUCGGGGCAGAUUUAUCAAGGCAGCAACAGCUCGUCUGUAUCAUGUGCCGGACGUGGUCUCAGCUGAAGCUGCUGCACUUCUGGAAGGCCUCAAAUUACUUCAGAGCACUGGUUGUAACAAUGCUGUGAUUAGGAUGGAUGGAUAG